GAUGAACGCUGGCGGCGUGCCUAAUACAUGCAAGUCGAGCGAACAGACGGGGAGCUUGCUCCUCUGACGUUAGCGGCGGACGGGUGAGUAACACGUGGAUAACCUACCUAUAAGACUGGGAUAACUUCGGCAAACCGGAGCUAAUACCGGAUAAUAUAUUGAACCGCAUGGUUCAAUAGUGAAAGACGGUUUUGCUGUCACUUAUAGAUGGAUCCGCGCCGCAUUAGCUAGUUGGUAAGGUAACGGCUUACCAAGGCGACGAUGCGUAGCCGACCUGAGAGGGUGAUCGGCCACACUGGAACUGAGACACGGUCCAGACUCCUACGGGAGGCAGCAGUAGGGAAUCUUCCGCAAUGGGCGAAAGCCUGACGGAGCAACGCCGCGUGAGUGAUGAAGGUCUUCGGAUCGUAAAACUCUGUUAUUAGGGAAGAACAAAUGUGUAAGUAACUAUGCACGUCUUGACGGUACCUAAUCAGAAAGCCACGGCUAACUACGUG
This 497-nucleotide ribosomal RNA is filed under the name uncultured bacterium. Its description in RNAcentral is "partial 16S ribosomal RNA". It matches the Rfam family "Bacterial small subunit ribosomal RNA", at positions 28 to 507 of the family's 1533-position model. The record is from RNAcentral.